UUAAGUUAUUAAGGGCGCACGGUGGAUGCCUUGGCACUAGAAGCCGAUGAAGGACGUUACUAACGACGAUAUGCUUUGGGGAGCUGUAAGUAAGCUUUGAUCCAGAGAUUUCCGAAUGGGGAAACCCAGCAUGAGUUAUGUCAUGUUAUCGAUAUGUGAAUACAUAGCAUAUCAGAAGGCACACCCGGAGAACUGAAACAUCUUAGUACCCGGAGGAAGAGAAAGAAAAUUCGAUUCCCUUAGUAGCGGCGAGCGAAACGGGAAGAGCCCAAACCAACAAGCUUGCUUGUUGGGGUUGUAGGACACUCUAUACGGAGUUACAAAGGACGACAUUAGACGAAUCAUCUGGAAAGAUGAAUCAAAGAAGGUAAUAAUCCUGUAGUCGAAAAUGUUGUCUCUCUUGAGUGGAUCCUGAGUACGACGGAGCACGUGAAAUUCCGUCGGAAUCUGGGAGGACCAUCUCCUAAGGCUAAAUACUCUCUAGUGACCGAUAGUGAACCAGUACCGUGAGGGAAAGGUGAAAAGCACCCCGGAAGGGGAGUGAAAUAGAACCUGAAACCGUGUGCUUACAAGUAGUCAGAGCCCGUUAAUGGGUGAUGGCGUGCCUUUUGUAGAAUGAACCGGCGAGUUACGAUUUGAUGCAAGGUUAAGCAGUAAAUGUGGAGCCGUAGCGAAAGCGAGUCUGAAUAGGGCGUUUAGUAUUUGGUCGUAGACCCGAAACCAGGUGAUCUACCCUUGGUCAGGUUGAAGUUCAGGUAACACUGAAUGGAGGACCGAACCGACUUACGUUGAAAAGUGAGCGGAUGAACUGAGGGUAGCGGAGAAAUUCCAAUCGAACCUGGAGAUAGCUGGUUCUCUCCGAAAUAGCUUUAGGGCUAGCCUCAAGUGAUGAUUAUUGGAGGUAGAGCACUGUUUGGACGAGGGGCCCCUCUCGGGUUACCGAAUUCAGACAAACUCCGAAUGCCAAUUAAUUUAACUUGGGAGUCAGAACAUGGGUGAUAAGGUCCGUGUUCGAAAGGGAAACAGCCCAGACCACCAGCUAAGGUCCCAAAAUAUAUGUUAAGUGGAAAAGGAUGUGGCGUUGCCCAGACAACUAGGAUGUUGGCUUAGAAGCAGCCAUCAUUUAAAGAGUGCGUAAUAGCUCACUAGUCGAGUGACACUGCGCCGAAAAUGUACCGGGGCUAAACAUAUUACCGAAGCUGUGGAUUGUCCUUUGGACAAUGGUAGGAGAGCGUUCUAAGGGCGUUGAAGCAUGAUCGUAAGGACAUGUGGAGCGCUUAGAAGUGAGAAUGCCGGUGUGAGUAGCGAAAGACGGGUGAGAAUCCCGUCCACCGAUUGACUAAGGUUUCCAGAGGAAGGCUCGUCCGCUCUGGGUUAGUCGGGUCCUAAGCUGAGGCCGACAGGCGUAGGCGAUGGAUAACAGGUUGAUAUUCCUGUACCACCUAUAAUCGUUUUAAUCGAUGGGGGGACGCAGUAGG
RNAcentral lists this ribosomal RNA (1478 nucleotides) under Staphylococcus aureus. Its description in RNAcentral is "bacterial LSU rRNA". It matches the Rfam family "Bacterial large subunit ribosomal RNA", at positions 3 to 1481 of the family's 2925-position model. The record is from RNAcentral. Lineage: Bacteria; Bacillati; Bacillota; Bacilli; Caryophanales; Staphylococcaceae.